UGCGAGUGAAGAGGGAAGAGCUCAAAUUUAAAAUCUGGUAGUCUCUGACUGCCCGAGUUGUAAUCUAGAGAAGCAUUAUCCGCGCCGGACCAUGUACAAGUUUUCCUGGAAUGGAGCGUCAUAGAGGGUGAGAAUCCCGUCUUUGACAUGGGCUACCGGGGCUUUGUGAUGUGCUUUCCACGAGUCGAGUUGUUUGGGAAUGCAGCUCUAAAUGGGUGGUAAAUUCCAUCUAAAGCUAAAUAUUGGCGAGAGACCGAUAGCGAACAAGUACCGUGAGGGAAAGAUGAAAAGAACUUUGGAAAGAGAGUUAAACAGUACGUGAAAUUGUUGAAAGGGAAACGCUUGAAGUCAGUCGCGUUUGCUAGGAAUCAACCUUGCAUUUUUGCUGGGUGUACUUUCUGGUUAACGGGUCAGCAUCAAUUUUGAGCAGUGGAAAAAGUUCAGAGGAAUGUGGCACCUCCGGGUGUGUUAUAGCCUUUGUUCGUAUACACUGCUUGGAAUUGAGGAACUCAGCAUGCCGUAAGGCCGGGUCAGUUGACCACGUUCAUGCUUAGGAUGCUGGCAUAAUGGCUUUAAUCGACCCGUCUUGAAACACGGACCAAGGAGUCUAACAUGCCCGCGAGUGUUUGGGUGGAAAACCCGGACGCGUAAUGAAAGUGAAGGUUGAGAUCCCUGUCGUGGGGAGCAUCGACGCCCGGACCAGAACUUCUGUGACGGAUCCGCGGUAGAGCGUGUAUGUUGGGACC
Molecule: ribosomal RNA, 746 nt
Filed under: Gerhardtia sp.
Lineage: Eukaryota; Fungi; Basidiomycota; Agaricomycetes; Agaricales; Lyophyllaceae
Description: partial large subunit ribosomal RNA
Rfam family: Eukaryotic large subunit ribosomal RNA
Source: RNAcentral